AGCCUCUGGCUUCUCUUCAAUUGUCGAAUAAAUUUUUCGCCUUUUACUAAAGAUUUCAAUGGAGAGUAGCACUCUAAUGAGUCUAAACAGAAUUUUUUCGUAGUGAGUACGGGUAUAAAAA
Small nuclear RNA from Drosophila obscura, 121 nucleotides. RefSeq annotates it as U5 spliceosomal RNA. The record is from RefSeq and is a predicted model, not a curated record. NCBI's taxonomy places the organism in Eukaryota, Metazoa, Arthropoda, Insecta, Diptera, Drosophilidae. The transcript has a single exon.